RNAcentral lists this ribosomal RNA (1343 nucleotides) under uncultured bacterium. RNAcentral describes it as "partial 16S ribosomal RNA". It matches the Rfam family "Bacterial small subunit ribosomal RNA", at positions 28 to 1381 of the family's 1533-position model. The record is from RNAcentral.
GACGAACGCUGGCGGCGUGCUUAACACAUGCAAGUCGAACGGUAAGGCUCCAGCUUGCUGGGGUACACGAGUGGCGAACGGGUGAGUAACACGUGGGUGACCUGCCCUGCACUUCGGGAUAAGCCUGGGAAACUGGGUCUAAUACCGGAUAGGACCGCACCGUGAGGGUGUGGUGGAAAGUUUUUUCGGUGUGGGAUGGGCCCGCGGCCUAUCAGCUUGUUGGUGGGGUAAUGGCCUACCAAGGCGGCGACGGGUAGCCGGCCUGAGAGGGUGGACGGCCACAUUGGGACUGAGACACGGCCCAGACUCCUACGGGAGGCAGCAGUGGGGAAUAUUGCACAAUGGGCGGAAGCCUGAUGCAGCGACGCCGCGUGGGGGAUGACGGCCUUCGGGUUGUAAACUCCUUUCACCAUCGACGAAGGGUUUCUGACGGUAGAUGGAGAAGAAGCACCGGCUAACUACGUGCCAGCAGCCGCGGUAAUACGUAGGGUGCGAGCGUUGUCCGGAAUUACUGGGCGUAAAGAGCUCGUAGGUGGUUUGUCGCGUCGUCUGUGAAAUUCCGGGGCUUAACUCCGGGCGUGCAGGCGAUACGGGCAUAACUUGAGUACUGUAGGGGAGACUGGAAUUCCUGGUGUAGCGGUGAAAUGCGCAGAUAUCAGGAGGAACACCGGUGGCGAAGGCGGGUCUCUGGGCAGUAACUGACGCUGAGGAGCGAAAGCAUGGGGAGCGAACAGGAUUAGAUACCCUGGUAGUCCAUGCCCGUAAACGGUGGGCGCUAGGUGUGGGUUUCCUUCCACGGGAUCCGCGCCGUAGCUAACGCAUUAAGCGCCCCCGCCUGGGGAGUACGGCCGCAAGGCUAAAACUCAAAGGAAUUGACGGGGGCCCGCACAAGCGGCGGAGCAUGUGGAUUAAUUCGAUGCAACGCGAAGAACCUUACCUGGGCUUGACAUAUACAGGAUCGCGCCAGAGAUGGUGUUUCCCUUGUGGCUUGUAUACAGGUGGUGCAUGGUUGUCGUCAGCUCGUGUCGUGAGAUGUUGGGUUAAGUCCCGCAACGAGCGCAACCCUUGUCUUAUGUUGCCAGCACGUUGUGGUGGGGACUCGUAAGAAACUGCCGGGGUUAACUCGGAGGAAGGUGGGGAUGACGUCAAAUCAUCAUGCCCCUUAUGUCCAGGGCUUCACACAUGCUACAAUGGUCGGUACAGUGGGUUGCCAGUCCGUGAGGGCGAGCUAAUCCCGCAAAGCCGGUCUCAGUUCGGAUCGGGGUCUGCAACUCGACCCCGAGAAGUCGGAGUCGCUAGUAAUCGCAGAUUAGCAACGCUGCGGUGAAUAAGUUCCCGGGCCU